Molecule: long non-coding RNA, 1020 nt
Organism: Chenopodium quinoa (quinoa)
Lineage: Eukaryota; Viridiplantae; Streptophyta; Magnoliopsida; Caryophyllales; Amaranthaceae
Exons: 2
Source: RefSeq, a predicted model, not a curated record
CCCAAUAUGUAUAAGACAACCAUAAUUUAUGCUUUAACCCUAAAAUAUCCCACUCACACUCUCAGCCUCCACUAUCACAAUUUACAUAUUCUCUCACCUCUCAAGUCUCACUAAUUCACGGGUCACUUCUCAAGAUCUCAAUCUCUAACCGGCUCGAUUCCCUCGUAUGCUCAUCAUAUUCUAGAAUUUGGUGAUAGUGGUAUGACACAAGUAGGCAAAAAUUGAUGCGGCAAAGGUGUGCUUCAAGUUUGGAAUCAAGAAAUCUAUCCUAAUAAAUUUUGGAAGCUUAUAUGUAGUUUUGUGGACAUUAUGUUUGCUUAUUGUAAUUUUAAUGAAAUUUGUAUAAACAAGUUUUUUUCAAUUAUUUUUAAGAUUUAGGGUUACAAGAAGUCAGGAACGAGUUAAAGACUUACAGUUCAAAUUCUAGGUUAAAAAAAAAAAAAGCAGUUUAAUACUAUAACUUUUAAACCGAAAAAACAAAAUUAAAAAAAGGAACUGGGUACCCGGAAUCGGAACCAGUUCCAAGAUCAGUUCUAAAAAUUCAGGACCCGGUUAAACCAGUUCCAAGACCAGUUUCGAAGAAAUCAACCGGGUACCCGGUCUUGCUCACCCCUACUCGUCAAUUGGGAUAACCGGAUGGAGGUUGGGUCGGGUCUAUUCGAAUUGGAUAUAUUCGAGUCAAAAUUAUUCUUUUAACUCGGAUCGAGUCGGGUCGGGUCAAAUUCGGGUUGGAUCAAGGUCGAGUCAUGGUCAAUCGAUUCCGGGUCGGAUAUGGGUCAGGUCAACUUCAUAUCGGUUCACUUUCGGUUCGCUUGGAUCGGGUUCAAAAUGGGUUUAACCGGGUUAUUUUGGGUCAGAUGGACUUGGGUCGGGUUGAUUUCAGUUCGGAUGAUUUUGAUUCGUUCAAGUUCGGUUUGAUUAAGAUAAGGUUGAUCUGUACCGUUCAUUCAUUAUUGAAAAAUGAUAGUUACAUAUGGUGGUGUAUAAUAUACUAAUAAGAAUGUCUUCUUUUUAAGGUUA